UACAAAGAGAAUGUUUGUCUCCUGUGGCAGAAGUCAGAAAUUAAAAACACAAACAAAAAUUAUCCCAAAGAAAAUGUAUACUAGAAUCUCCAGAGAAUUGGCCACCCAGCCCACUCUCACUCUAGUCUCUGCAGAUAAUCAUACAAAGUUACUAACUAGAAACCAAUCAAAUGUACCAUCAAAACUGAUAUAUUAAUUGAAACAUAAAGUGCAAAGAAAAGAAUCAAAAUUUUAUUCAGAAGAUAAGAAAAAGAAGAGAUUCCAUUCUAGUAAUUUCUACACAGGAGAAUUUGGACAAUAUCAAAACCAAUACAAAUUAAAGCCCACACAUUAAUAUAUACCUCUGUCAGACACAAAUAAGCUUACUUUACUUUUUCAUCUGUCCCAAAUUAUAGGCCACUUUAUUUUUUCAAACAGUAGUUUAUUUAUUAGUUCACUAAUAUGCCCCUAUUUAAUAUGCAUUGAAAUAAUAAAAUUCAUUAGUUCCAAAAAUAAUUUAAUAACAUGAGCUAUUUCAUUUUUAGUGGAGCAACAUGAGUGGAGGGUAUAUUAGGAAAAGAUUCCAAAAUUUUAUUGCUUUAGCUAUAUUAGCUACAUUUUUUUUAAACUAUAUGAAAAUAGAAGUAAGUCUAUCUUUGUGGGACGGAGGGAGUAGUUUACGAUCCUAAAACCAGAAAAUGAGAUUGCUGUCAGUAAAUAAAUAAUAUCACCAUCCAUUAAAAAAACCAAGUGCCAAAGUUGUUAUUGAGGUAAAAUCUCAAUGACUAAAAAGUCACAAAAAUGAGAGAACUUAUUUCAUGCUAAGCUUUCCCAAUAGAUAAUGAAAGCAAGAGAGAACGUGCAGAAACUUCUCAAGUUUCCACAACUGGUAGAUAAUAAAAGAUUGACUGUAUAUAAUAAGCUAUGUGACAUUAUCAUUAACAGCAAUAGAAGAGAAGAUUCAAGUAAGCACCUACCGAGCUCAACAUCCCUAUCAACUCCAUAUUCAACAACAAAACCGUGAUGAGAAUCUAGAGUUAAUCCACCAACUUCAGGAAAAAAAACUACAAGGAAAAUUAAUCAUAAAAAAUCAGUUCUACAAAAAUAUUAUGAGACUCUUUAUUUGCAUUCUAGUUCCCAACUGAAUAUAGAUAUAUUACCUUUAGACAUAGGACGUAUAUAUUCAUCCAUCAAUUUGUCAAGAAUGGUUUCCAGCCCAAAGUCAUCUAGAACAGCACCAUACUUGUUCAUUGUGUUUGGACGCAUUAUUCUGAAUUUUGUAUCAUGAACCCAUCUUUCAAAAUUUUCUACCUCAGACAUCAACAUUUCACAGAAACUUGGCUGAAACAUUUCAAAUACAUAAACUCCUGGCGUGGGUUCCACCAAUAUACUUCUAAAACUCUCAUCAGUUUUUUCAUUAAUUGCUUUGAGAAAUGAGGGAACAAAGAAGUUAACAGCAUUCAUGGUAUACAACUCCCCAUGUAGAGGCUGAUAGUUUGAUAUAAUCUUCUGCCUGUAUUCUCUAUGUUUUUGAAUCUGCCAGUUUACAACAAGAAACGAUGAGCAACAGAUUUUGACAAAUAAGAAAAGAAAGCAACACUUAAAAAGAAAAAGAAAAAGAAAAUGAUAGAAACAAUAAUUAGCAAACCAAAGGGGUCUGAAAUUACAUGAAACUUAUCGAUUUCCAAGACAUUAAGAUUGUAGGGAAGUUACAUGGACACCAUUAUUUGAAAUUAAUAUUAAAUAAUACAAAAUAACUAAUUUGCGAAGAGGCUUUAAUUUUUUUAUACAAUCUCCACAUCAAUUAAUACAAAUUAGGGGGACCCCCCUAAUUUGUAGGAGGAAAUUGCCGGGAAUUAAAAGCAAAUGUGAGUCAGAGUACAGAUAACAAAUUUUAAAAGUAGGGGGAAAAAAUCAAAGCCCAUUCUAACACAAAUUUCACUUUCUUUUCAUAGGUGAUGGCAGUAUCCAUCAGACACGAAACAUUUAAAGCACAUCCCCACAAUAUUAAGGGUGUUUAUCAGAAACUUCUUUCAAUAAAUAAAUAAUAUUUCGAAGCCAGAACUCUAAAAUAAAGCUAUACUAUGCCUGAUUUAGCAGACGUAGGUUUAUCGAUUAUUCAGAACCUGGUCUCCUACACCAAACAGAAAAAGAUGAAUUACACUGCAAAUUAUUAAAGCAGAAUAAGAGUUAUCAGGAAUUACUCUUUGAAUCAGCAUUCCAACUUAGCCUAAGUAUCUUCAAGGGGAAAAUAUCAAUUUUCAUAUACUUUCAACUCAAGCAGCGAAAUAGAAUCUCGCCCAAACAGCAAAUUGUCAAAAUUUUCAUUUCUCCCCCAUUCAAUUGCUCGCUAUUCCACAAAUUACAGUACAGCUUUAACACACAUACAUAUAUACGCAUAGAUAAUGUAUAUGCAUAUGUACAUGAAUAGUGGCGUAAAUUAAGAUACUAAACCGAUGCAUACACGAGUGCGUUCACCCUCGGGAGAGUAGCGACCGAGAAUGUCCCUCAUGAACUGGAUUUUAGCUUCACGUGACAAAUUAAGCAUGGAAGGAGGCAAGUACCGCUCUAGCGAGCUGAACAGUAAAGGACUGAAAUCCGAUUGCAGGUCCUCAUAGCUAUCGGGUUUGUGAUCGGUGCUAGGGUUCAACCUUAGCCUGUGUGCUACCUGAGUAGAUAGUGCGACGCCAUUUCCAUUCCCACUGGGCUUCUUGUGCUCAUCUAGCGACAUUGUUAGAAUAGCUAUGUUGAUUUUGAUUUCACAGAGAGAGCCUGUGGUUGAGAAUUUGCAUACCAGUUCUCGUUUAGCAGAGGCAGAGGGUGGAAUUAGGGUUUGCUGAGUGAGAGAGAAGGGAAAAGCAGAAGGUUGUUUGUCGUGCAGGUUAGGGUUUGUAAUUGUCGUCUGUAAGUAGGUUGGAUUGGAUCGU
Molecule: unclassified non-coding RNA, 2906 nt
Filed under: Hevea brasiliensis (rubber tree)
Lineage: Eukaryota; Viridiplantae; Streptophyta; Magnoliopsida; Malpighiales; Euphorbiaceae
Source: RNAcentral